RNAcentral lists this ribosomal RNA (351 nucleotides) under Sciomesa mesophaea. RNAcentral's name for it is "partial 12S small subunit ribosomal RNA". Lineage: Eukaryota; Metazoa; Arthropoda; Insecta; Lepidoptera; Noctuidae. The record is from RNAcentral.
AAAAUUUAAAAUUAAAAUACUAAAAUAGUAAAUAUAAUUUUGUUGAAAUUUAAAUAAUUUGGCGGUAUUUUAGUUCAUUUAGAGGAAUCUGUUUAAUAAUUGAUAUUCCACGAAUAAAUUUACUUAGUUUAUAAUUUUGUAUAUCGUUGUUGUAAAAAUAUUUUUUAAUGAAAUUAAUAUUUAAAAAUUAAAAUAUAAAUUUAAAUCAGAUCAAGAUGCAGUUUAUAAUUAAGAAUAUAAUGGAUUACAAUAAAUUUAUUUAAAUGGAUUUUAAUUUUUAAUAAUUAAUUGAAGGUGGAUUUAAAUGUAAUUUUAUUUAAUUUAAUAAAAUGAUUAAAAAUUAAAAUAUGU